Molecule: ribosomal RNA, 468 nt
Filed under: uncultured bacterium
Lineage: Bacteria
Description: partial 16S ribosomal RNA
Rfam family: Bacterial small subunit ribosomal RNA
Source: RNAcentral
GACGAACGCUGGCGGCGUGCUUAACACAUGCAAGUCGAACGGAAAGACCCUGCUUUUGUGGGGUGCUCGAGUGGCGAACGGGUGAGUAACACGUGAGUAACCUGCCCUUGACUUUGGGAUAACUUCAGGAAACUGGGGCUAAUACCGUAUAGGAGCUCCUGCUGCAUGGUGGGGGUUGGAAAGUUUCGGCGGUUGGGGAUGGACUCGCGGCUUAUCAGCUUGUUGGUUGGGUAGUGGCUUACCAAGGCUUUGACGGGUAGCCGGCCUGAGAGGGUGAACGGCCACAUUGGGACUGCGAUACGGCGCAGAGUGCUACGGGAGGCAGCAGUGGGGAAUAUUGCACAAUGGGAGGAAGCGUGAUGAAGCAACGCCGCGUGCGGGAUGACGGCCUUCGGGUUGUAAACCGCUUUCGCCUGUGACGACGCGUGAGUGACGGUAAUGGGUAAAGAAGCACCGGCUAACUACGUG